This 240-nucleotide ribosomal RNA is filed under the name uncultured bacterium. RNAcentral describes it as "partial 16S ribosomal RNA". It matches the Rfam family "Bacterial small subunit ribosomal RNA", at positions 94 to 334 of the family's 1533-position model. The record is from RNAcentral.
CGUGGCGGACGGGUGAGUAACGCGUGGGUAACCUGCCUCAUACAGGGGGAUAACGGUUAGAAAUGACUGCUAAUACCGCAUAAGCACACAGUACCGCAUGGUACGGUGUGAAAAACUCCGGUGGUAUGAGAUGGACCCGCGUUUGAUUAGCUAGUUGGUGAGGUAACGGCCCACCAAGGCGACGAUCAGUAGCCGACCUGAGAGGGUGACCGGCCACAUUGGGACUGAGACACGGCCCAG